Molecule: non-coding RNA, 95 nt
Filed under: Cellulomonas sp.
Lineage: Bacteria; Bacillati; Actinomycetota; Actinomycetes; Micrococcales; Cellulomonadaceae
Also listed under: 1 other name
Description: Glycine sequence
Rfam family: Glycine riboswitch aptamer
About the family: This family represents the bacterial glycine riboswitch.
Source: RNAcentral
CGAACUGUGGCGGGAGAGCUCCCGCACGACGUGCGGGGCGCCGAAGGAGCAACCCUCCCCGGGAAUCUCUCAGGCCCCUGUACCGCCACGGCGAG